GGGGACUAGAGCUAAGGGUGGGGCCUCGCGGUGAGUGCAGCCGGGGACGGGACCCAAGGCUGGCGACGGGACCCAAGGCUGGCGACGCGACCUAAGGCAGUGGGCGGGCCCUUGGCGAUGAACGCAGUCGGGGACUAAAGCUGGACGCGGGGCAGAGGAGGGUCCUCCUCGGAUAGUGAGCGCGGUCUCCAGCGGCGAGCGAGGCCUGGGGUGAGGACUCA
RNAcentral lists this long non-coding RNA (221 nucleotides) under Homo sapiens (human). RNAcentral's name for it is "LHRI_LNC2094.1". The record is from RNAcentral. Lineage: Eukaryota; Metazoa; Chordata; Mammalia; Primates; Hominidae.